UUUAUAAUAGUUAUUUAUUAUAAUAAUGUUUGUAUAUUUUUUAUUAAUUAAUAAAAUUAAUUUUAAAUAUAAAAUUUUUAGUAUUUUAUAAAGAAAAAAUAUUAUUAAUAAUAGUUUAUUAGUAUAGAAAAAGAAAUUUUAAAUAAUUUGAAAAAUUUUUAAAAUAAUAGAAUAAUUAAUUUUUAGUGCCUUGUGUGUCAGGAUAAAUUAAUUAAUAAAUAUAAAAAAUAUUUAUUUCGAAUUUAAAAGAUUUAAUAUUUUAUUUUAUUUAUUGUUGAAAAAAUAUUAAUUUAUAAAUUAUUAGAAAUGAGAUGUUAUUCGUUUUUAAAAAUAUCUAAUUUUUUUAGAAAUAAAUUUAAUUUAUUUAUAAUUUAUUAAUUAUUUUAUUUUAUAAAUAAUUAAUUAAUUUAUAAAAAUAUUUCAAGGGAUGAGCUUUGAAUUAAAAUUUAAUAAUUUUAAAAAAGUAAUAAAAAAAAGUAAGCUUAAAAAUAGCAAUUUUUAAUGAUUAUGUUAUAAUUUAUUUUUAAAAAAUUAUUAUUUAUUUUAAAAAUUUUAUUUUUUAUAAAAAAAAUUUUUUUAAUAUUAAAAAAGAGGUUAUAAUGAUUUAAUUAGUAAAAUUUUUAUUUAUUAAAUAAGUUUUAAGUUUAAAAAAUUUAUAAAUAAAUUCGACAAAUUUUUAUAUUCACCUGUUUAUCAAAAACAUCUCUUUUAGGUUUUUUUAAAAGUUUAACCUGCCCACUGAAAAUUUUUAAAGGGCCGCGGUAUUUUGACCGUGCAAAGGUAGCAUAAUCAUUAGUUUUUUAAUUGAAGGCUGGUAUGAAUGGUUGAAUGAAAUAUAUGUUGUAUCUAUUAAUUUAAAAUUUUAAUUUUAUUUUUUAGUUAAAAAGCUAAAAUUUUAUUUAAAGACGAGAAGACCCUAUAAAGCUUUAUAUUUAUAUUUUAUAAUUUAUGAAUAAUUUUUUUUAUUUUAAGUAUUUUAAAUAUUGUAUUGGGGUGAUAUUAAAAUUUAUAAAACUUUUAAAAUUAUUUUAUUAAUUAUAUUUAUUUUUCUAAUGAUCCAUUAUUAAUGAUUAAAAAUUUAAGUUACUUUAGGGAUAACAGCGUAAUUUUUUUAGAGAGUUCUUAUCGAUAAAAAAGAUUGCGACCUCGAUGUUGGACUAAGAAUUAUUUUAGGUGUAGAAGUUUAAAUUUUAAGUCUGUUCGACUUAUAAAUUCUUACGUGAUCUGAGUUCAAACCGGUGUAAGCCAGGUUGGUUUCUAUCUUAAAUUAAAGAUUAUAUUUUAGUACGAAAGGACCGAGUAUAAAAAUAUUUAUUUAUAAUUUAGAAUAAUAUUAAAUUAUUUAUAUAAUUUUAUGUUAAUUAAAAAAUAUG
This 1373-nucleotide ribosomal RNA is filed under the name Rheocricotopus villiculus. RNAcentral describes it as "16S ribosomal RNA". The record is from RNAcentral. Lineage: Eukaryota; Metazoa; Arthropoda; Insecta; Diptera; Chironomidae.